This 2151-nucleotide ribosomal RNA is filed under the name metagenome. Its description in RNAcentral is "bacterial LSU rRNA". It matches the Rfam family "Bacterial large subunit ribosomal RNA", at positions 785 to 2925 of the family's 2925-position model. The record is from RNAcentral.
UCCGUUGAAAAGGGUUAGGAUGAGGUGUGGGUAGGGGUGAAAUUCCAAUCGAACGUGGAGAUAGCUGGUUCUCCCCGAAAUAGCUUUAGGGCUAGCCUCAGGGUAAAGAUUGCAGGCGGUAGAGCACUGAUCAGGAGAGGGACCUACCCGGUUACCAAACCCAGUCAAACUACGAAUGGCUGCAAUUAUACCUGGGAGUCAGACUACGACUUAUAAGGGCCGUGGUCAAAAGGGAAACAGCCCAGAUCAUCAGCUAAGGUCCCAAAUGCCGUGCUAAGUGGCGAAGGAUGUGGCGUUUCAUAAACAACCAGGAUGUUGGCUCAGAAGCAGCCACCAUUUAAAGAGUGCGUAAUAGCUCACUGGUCGAGAGACGCUGCGCCGAAAAUGUCCGGGGCUCAAGCACGGAACCGAAGCUAUGGCAUUGCGUAAGCAAUGGGUAGGGGAGCGUUCUUAUGGGGAAGAAGCAUUACCGUAAGGAGAUGUGGACACAUAAGAAGUGAGAAUGCCGGUAUGAGUAUCGAAAAGAAAGGUGAGAAUCCUUUCCACCGAAAGCCCGAGGGUUCCUGAGCAACGAUCGUCGUCUCAGGGUAAGUCGGGACCUAAGCCGAGGCACAGACGCAUAGGCGAUGGACAACAGGUUGAAAUUCCUGUACCGGAUGGAGUCAUUUGAGCAAUGGAGUGACGCAGGAGGGCACAUGAUCGCGCGACUGGAAGAGCGCGUCCAAGUGCGUAUGUUGAAUCGGAGGCAAAUCCCCGAUUCUGAAAGCAGAGACAUGAUGGGGAGUUAUAAGCGAUUAUGACGAACUCAUGGAUCCCACACUGCCAAGAAAAACUUCUAGCGAGACGAAAUCCGCCCGUACCGUAAACCGACACAGGUAGGCGGGGAGAGAAUCCUAAGGUGCGCGGGAAAACCCUCGUUAAGGAACUCGGCAAAUUGCAUCCGUAACUUCGGGAGAAGGAUGGCCCUGAGUAGGCGAAGUGCAGAAACGCACGGAACAGAAAAGGGUGGCAGAAAAGAGGCCCAAGCAACUGUUUACCAAAAACACAGGUGCCUGCGAAAGCGAAAGCUGAAGUAUAGGUGCUGACGCCUGCCCGGUGCUGGAAGGUUAAGGAGAGAGGUUAGCGCAAGCGAAGCUUUGAACUGAAGCCCCAGUGAACGGCGGCCGUAACUAUAACGGUCCUAAGGUAGCGAAAUUCCUUGUCGGGUAAGUUCCGACCCGCAUGAAAGGCGUAAUGAUUUGGGCGCUGUCUCAACGAGGGGCCCGGUGAAAUUGAAAUACCUGUGAAGAUGCAGGUUACCCGCGACUGGACAGAAAGACCCCAUGGAGCUUUACUGCAGCUUGAGAUUGAAUCCCGGUGGCAGACGCACAGGAUAGGUGGGAGGCUUUGAGAUAGUGACUUUGGUUGCUAUGGAGCCGACGUUGGGAUACCACCCUUCUGUUGCUGGGAUUCUAACGCGAAGAUUAACAACCUUGCGGACCAUCUCAGGUAGGCGGUUUGACUGGGGCGGUCGCCUCCGAAAGAGUAACGGAGGCGCCCAAAGGUUCCCUCAGGCCGGACAGAAACCGGCCGAAGAGUGCAAAGGCAGAAGGGAGCUUGACUGCGAGACAGACAAGUCGAGCAGAGACGAAAGUCGGGCUUAGUGAUCCGGUGGUACUGCGUGGAAAGGCCAUCGCUCAACGGAUAAAAGCUACCCUGGGGAUAACAGGCUAAUCUCUCCCAAGAGUUCAUAUCGACGGGGAGGUUUGGCACCUCGAUGUCGGCUCAUCACAUCCUGGAGCUGGAGUAGGUUCCAAGGGUUGGGCUGUUCGCCCAUUAAAGUGGUACGCGAGCUGGGUUCAAAACGUCGUGAGACAGUUUGGUUCAUAUCCAUCGCGGGCGCAAGAAGUUUGAGGGAGGCUGCUCCUAGUACGAGAGGACCGGAGUGGACGGAUCAACGGUGUACCAGUUGUCACGCCAGUGGCACGGCUGGAAAGCCGCAUCCGGAAAGGAUAAACGCUGAAAGCAUCUAAGCGUGAAGCCCGUCCCAAGAUGAGACUUCUCAUCAGCAAUGAGUAAGACCCCUUAAAGACGAUGAGGUUGAUAGGCUGUGAGUGGAAGAGCCGCGAGGCUUGGAGCGACGCAGUACUAAUAGGUCGAGGUCUUAACUUA